GACGAACGCUGGCGGCGUGCUUAAUACAUGCAAGUCGAACGGAGAGGCUCUGCUUCUGUGGCGGGAACAACUUGGCAACGGGCGAGUAACAAGUGAGUAACCUACCUGUGUCAUUGGGAGGACUUCCGGUUAGUGAGGCUAACAAAUGCUAGGUACUCCCGCUAACUGGUUGGUGGUUGUUUAUUUCUGCGGUUUGCGAUGGCCUUGCGGCUUAUUAGCUUUUUGGUGGGGAAUUGGCUGACCAAGGCCGUGACGGGUAGCCGGCCCGUGAGGGUGACCGGGCACAUUGGGACUGAGAUACGGACCAGACUCCUACGGGAGGCAGCAGUGGAGAAUAUUGCACAAUGGGGGGAAGUCUGAUGCAACAACGUCGCGUGCGGGAUGACGGCCUUCGAGUUGUAAACCGCUGUGGACUGUGACGAAGCGUGAGUGACGGUAAUGGGUAAAGAAGCACCGGCUAACUACGUG
RNAcentral lists this ribosomal RNA (468 nucleotides) under uncultured bacterium. RNAcentral describes it as "partial 16S ribosomal RNA". It matches the Rfam family "Bacterial small subunit ribosomal RNA", at positions 28 to 507 of the family's 1533-position model. The record is from RNAcentral.